ACUUGUAUCAGGUCACGGAAGGUGGUAAAUACAGUCUAGUCCUGGUGUUUGAGGCAAAAGCUUUGGAGUUGUCAGAUUUUGAACUGAGACAGGCUAAAUUUGCUUCGUUCUUUGGACCGGGAAUUACAGCUGAAGUUGCUAAGGGAGAGAAGGAUCUUUAUGAAGUCCGACUCAUCUCCAAUGCCGACUCCAACACAUCAUCUUCGUAACAUGUAUAAUAUAUGUUCAUAGUUUGGUCCCACUGGCUAUACAAGCUAUAAUCUGUUGUAAAGUUUAUGCUGAGAUUUAGUUGGCAAAAUAUUAAAAGAUAAAAUUAUGUAUACAGAUUUUGACGAGAAAGAUAUGCACAGUUGCAAAUUAA
Molecule: long non-coding RNA, 361 nt
Organism: Morus notabilis
Lineage: Eukaryota; Viridiplantae; Streptophyta; Magnoliopsida; Rosales; Moraceae
Exons: 3
Source: RefSeq, a predicted model, not a curated record